Long non-coding RNA from Lutra lutra (Eurasian river otter), 887 nucleotides. RefSeq lists it as uncharacterized. The record is from RefSeq and is a predicted model, not a curated record. Lineage: Eukaryota; Metazoa; Chordata; Mammalia; Carnivora; Mustelidae. The transcript is spliced from 3 exons.
CAAAACUAGGACUGCCGGACUCCAGGGCCAGGAGGGGCUGGGGGGCACUGUGGCGCAGUGUUCAGCAGGGAGGAGGAGAGGAGGCCUGGGGGCAGGGUAUGAAAGCCAUAAGACAACUCUAAAGGAGAAGCAGUAGAAGGGUUUCCCUGAGGACAAAAUGAAACGAAGCACGAAGACCCCUAGCAGAGCCCUGGGCAUGCAAGUUGAUACCCAGCCAAAGUCUCUGGCCUACAUCCUCUUCUGUCUGAGGCAGAGACGACCCAAGGUGGGAACUGCAUGGCAUAGAUGCCUCCAGUAGCAGCACUGAAUUCUUCACCUGUUUCAGGGAAGUCCAUGAACAUCCUGAGUCUGUAAAACAUUUCACAUAUGUGCAUUUCUUUGGAGAUAAGUCUGUUUACCCUGUUGCCCCAUAUAUUCCAAGAAGGUAGUGUCCAGCAAAGUACCUCAACCAUAGUAUAUGCUAAAUGGAUACCUAUUAAAUCAAUUUGAUAGAUUUCACCAAAUUCCUAUGCCCCACAUGGUUAGGAACUGUUGCUCCAUGGAUAAAUAAUCACUAGCAGUCCCCAUGUUUCACUUGCUCUGGCUAGACUUUCCUAUGGAAAGCUCUGACUGGCAAGACCCAAGACAUGCUACCACAGUUUUGCUGCAGGUCAAACCAGAGACCCAGCCCAAAGCUACCUUGAGAUUUCACUCUUCAGAGAUCUGUCACUAGAGCCAAGCACGUCAACAUCUAGAAACACAUUCCUCAGAGCAACCAUUUGUCACACCCCGUGCCUAACCCUCACAAACAGAGUCACUGCCUUCUCCCACCUUGUUUCUUGGAAGCAGUGCUAUGAACUGAAACAUGAGGAAGUGCUUACUUGUGACUCAUGAGAAGACCUUCUUCA